Molecule: ribosomal RNA, 119 nt
Filed under: Myotis davidii
Lineage: Eukaryota; Metazoa; Chordata; Mammalia; Chiroptera; Vespertilionidae
Source: RNAcentral
GUCUACGGCCAUACUACCCUGAACGCGCCUGAUCUUGUCUGAUCUCAGAAGCUAAGCAGGGUCGGGCCUGGUUAGUACUUGGAUGGGAGACCACCAGGGAAUACCGGGUGUUGUAGGCU